Molecule: non-coding RNA, 331 nt
Organism: Paramuricea clavata
Lineage: Eukaryota; Metazoa; Cnidaria; Anthozoa; Malacalcyonacea; Plexauridae
Source: the annotation of a GenBank genome assembly
CAUCGAUAAAAGUUCGUGUAUAGUACUGAUAUAGUACUAUAUAUGUAACUUGUACAGUUUUGCUUUAAUUUGUGCUCACUAUUUGCAUAAAAAGCAAAUUAUAACAGACCAUAGAUGAUAGACCCUCAUCCAGUGCUCUCAUCAGUUUACUUCUCUAACAAGCAAGGAUGGGGGGGGGGGUUUACAUAACAGUUCAUUUUUCAUAAUUAUGAGGACAGAGCAGAUGAUGAUGAGAGAUGCAAGUAUAAAACACCAUUCACAAGGCUAGAUGUUAACAUAGCACAGUAUUUCUGGCAAUAAAACGCUCCAACUGACCAACUGACCAUUUCAC